This 484-nucleotide ribosomal RNA is filed under the name Bacillus cereus. RNAcentral's name for it is "bacterial SSU rRNA". It matches the Rfam family "Bacterial small subunit ribosomal RNA", at positions 51 to 516 of the family's 1533-position model. Lineage: Bacteria; Bacillati; Bacillota; Bacilli; Caryophanales; Bacillaceae. The record is from RNAcentral.
AUACAUGMAGUCGAGCGAAUGGWUUAAGAGCUUGCUCUUAUGAAGUUAGCGGCGGACGGGUGAGUAACACGUGGGUAACCUGCCCAUAAGACUGGGAUAACUCCGGGAAACCGGGGCUAAUACCGGAUAACAUUUUGAACCGCAUGGUUCGAAAUUGAAAGGCGGCUUCGGCUGUCACUUAUGGAUGGACCCGCGUCGCAUUAGCUAGUUGGUGAGGUAACGGCUCACCAAGGCAACGAUGCGUAGCCGACCUGAGAGGGUGAUCGGCCACACUGGGACUGAGACACGGCCCAGACUCCUACGGGAGGCAGCAGUAGGGAAUCUUCCGCAAUGGACGAAAGUCUGACGGAGCAACGCCGCGUGAGUGAUGAAGGCUUUCGGGUCGUAAAACUCUGUUGUUAGGGAAGAACAAGUGCUAGUUGAAUAAGCUGGCACCUUGACGGUACCUAACCAGAAAGCCACGGCUAACUACGUGCCAGCAGCC